Molecule: ribosomal RNA, 645 nt
Filed under: uncultured bacterium
Lineage: Bacteria
Description: bacterial SSU rRNA
Rfam family: Bacterial small subunit ribosomal RNA
Source: RNAcentral
UUCCANGUGUAGCGGUGAAAUGCGUAGAUAUAUGGAGGAACACCGGUGGCGAAAGCGGCUCUCUGGUCUGUAACUGACGCUGAGGCUCGAAAGCGUGGGGAGCGAACAGGAUUAGAUACCCUGGUAGUNCACGCCGUAAACGAUGAGUGCUAGGUGUUGGAUCCUUUCCGGGAUUCAGUGCCGCAGCUAACGCAUUAAGCACUCCGCCUGGGGAGUACGACCGCAAGGUUGAAACUCAAAGGAAUUGACGGGGGCCCGCACAAGCGGUGGAGUAUGUGGUUUAAUUCGAAGCAACGCGAAGAACCUUACCAGGUCUUGACAUCCCGAUGCUAUUUCUAGAGAUAGAAAGUUACUUCGGUACAUCGGUGACAGGUGGUGCAUGGUUGUCGUCAGCUCGUGUCGUGAGAUGUUGGGUUAAGUCCCGCAACGAGCGCAACCCCUAUUGUUAGUUGCCAUCAUUCAGUUGGGCACUCUAGCGAGACUGCCGGUAAUAAACCGGAGGAAGGUGGGGAUGACGUCAAAUCAUCAUGCCCCUUAUGACCUGGGCCACACACGUGCUACAAUGGUUGGUACAACGAGUUGCGAGUCGGUGACGGCAAGCUAAUCUCUUAAAGCCAAUCUCAGUUCGGAUUGUAGGCUGCAACU